Molecule: ribosomal RNA, 477 nt
Filed under: uncultured bacterium
Lineage: Bacteria
Description: bacterial SSU rRNA
Rfam family: Bacterial small subunit ribosomal RNA
Source: RNAcentral
UUCGCAAUGCCCGAAAGGGUGACGAAGCGACGCCGCGUGUGGGAAGAAGGCCUUCGGGUUGUAAACCACUGUCGGGAGUUAAGAAAUGCAAGGAUAUUAAUAGUGUCUUUGUUUGACUAAGGCUCCGGAGGAAGCCACGGCUAACUCUGUGCCAGCAGCCGCGGUAAUACAGAGGCGGCAAGCGUUGUUCGGAAUUAUUGGGCGUAAAGAGCACGUAGGCGGCUAUGUAAGUCGGUUGUGAAAGCCUUCCGCUCAACGGAAGAACAGCAUCCGAUACUACAUGGCUUGAGUGCGGGAGGGGAGAGUGGAACUUCUGGUGGAGCGGUGAAAUGCGUAGAUAUCAGAAGGAACGCCGGCGGCGAAAGCGGCUCUCUGGCCCGUAACUGACGCUGAGUGUGCGAAAGCUAGGGGAGCAAACGGGAUUAGAUACCCCGGUAGUCCUAGCCGUAAACGAUGGGCACUAAGUAGAGGGGUUUU